GUGCUGUUCCGAUCUGGUCUUCAUGCUUGCACAACAAACACUGUAAUCACUAAGCCAUCUUCCCAGCCACAACUUCAAAUUUUUUUUUUCUUUUUUCCGUCUAACCCCGAGUUCCCACUA
Molecule: non-coding RNA, 120 nt
Organism: Peromyscus maniculatus bairdii (prairie deer mouse)
Lineage: Eukaryota; Metazoa; Chordata; Mammalia; Rodentia; Cricetidae
Source: RefSeq, a predicted model, not a curated record